UGGAGCGUGUGGUUUAAUUCGAUGCUACACGAAGAACCUUACCAGGGUUUGACAUGCAAGUGGUGGGAAACCGAAAGGUGACCGACCCUUCGGGGAGCUUGCACAGGUGCUGCAUGGCUGUCGUCAGCUCGUGUCGUGAGAUGUUCGGUUAAGUCCGCUAACGAGCGCAACCCUCACUGUGUGUUAUAUGUGUCACACGGGACCGCCGGUCUUAAGCCGGAGGAAGGUGGGGAUGACGUCAAGUCAGCAUGGCCUUUAUAUCUUGGGCA
Molecule: ribosomal RNA, 269 nt
Filed under: uncultured bacterium
Lineage: Bacteria
Description: partial 16S ribosomal RNA
Rfam family: Bacterial small subunit ribosomal RNA
Source: RNAcentral